RNAcentral lists this ribosomal RNA (476 nucleotides) under Streptococcus australis. RNAcentral's name for it is "bacterial SSU rRNA". It matches the Rfam family "Bacterial small subunit ribosomal RNA", at positions 28 to 487 of the family's 1533-position model. The record is from RNAcentral. Lineage: Bacteria; Bacillati; Bacillota; Bacilli; Lactobacillales; Streptococcaceae.
GAUGAACGCUGGCGGCGUGCCUAAUACAUGCAAGUAGAACGCUGAAGGAAGGAGCUUGCUCUUUCCGGAUGAGUUGCGAACGGGUGAGUAACGCGUAGGUAACCUGCCUGGUAGCGGGGGAUAACUAUUGGAAACGAUAGCUAAUACCGCAUAACAGUAGAUAUUGCAUGAUAUCUGCUUGAAAGGGGCAAUUGCUCCACUACCAGAUGGACCUGCGUUGUAUUAGCUAGUUGGUGAGGUAACGGCUCACCAAGGCGACGAUACAUAGCCGACCUGAGAGGGUGAUCGGCCACACUGGGACUGAGACACGGCCCAGACUCCUACGGGAGGCAGCAGUAGGGAAUCUUCGGCAAUGGACGGAAGUCUGACCGAGCAACGCCGCGUGAGUGAAGAAGGUUUUCGGAUCGUAAAGCUCUGUUGUAAGAGAAGAACGAGUGUGAGAGUGGAAAGUUCACACUGUGACGGUAUCUACCAGA